UACGUAGGGUGCAGGCGUUAAUCGGAAUUACUGGGCGUAAAGCGUGCGCAGGCGGCUCCUUAAGUCAGAUGUGAAAUCCCCGGGCUUAACCUGGGAACUGCGUUUGAAACUGGGGAGCUAGAGUGUAGAAGAGGGGGUGGAAUUCCAGGUGUAGCAGUGAAAUGCGUAGAGAUCUGGAGGAACACCGAUGGCGAAGGCAGCCCCCUGGGCUAACACUGACGCUCAUGCACGAAAGCGUGGGGAGCAAACAGG
This 252-nucleotide ribosomal RNA is filed under the name uncultured bacterium. RNAcentral describes it as "partial 16S ribosomal RNA". It matches the Rfam family "Bacterial small subunit ribosomal RNA", at positions 524 to 776 of the family's 1533-position model. The record is from RNAcentral.